CCCAAAACCAUCAAAAAUUUUUACUACUCUUCCACUCUCUCUCUUAAAAAUUUCGGCCAAACCAAACCACCCUCACACCAACUUCAUUUCAAACUUCAAAUUCAAGAGUUCUUGCACAUAUGAAGAUCCAUGGAUGAAAGAAGCUUCAAGGGUGUUUAGAAAAGCUAUUAGGAGCCUUCUUGGUGGAACUUGAAGUUUAAAAUCAUCAAGAUUUUUCUUAUCUUCAUCCUUAUUUCCUAGCAAAAAUUGUCGAGAAACGAACCGCGAACAAGGAAUCGAAUAGAGAUUUGCACGGAACGCAAAUCUGAGAUUAGUGCACGGCUUUGGGAAAAUAUGUUCAAGUGGUUAUCAAGAACGCAAGCUUUUGUGAUGUCAUCCGUUUUUAGUGUUAUGUUUUGAACUUUGAAUAAUGUAGUUAAAGUUGUUGUUGUUUCAAGUUUCAAACAAGACAUAUGUAAUGUAA
Long non-coding RNA from Helianthus annuus (common sunflower), 463 nucleotides. RefSeq lists it as uncharacterized. The record is from RefSeq and is a predicted model, not a curated record. Lineage: Eukaryota; Viridiplantae; Streptophyta; Magnoliopsida; Asterales; Asteraceae. The transcript is spliced from 3 exons.